GUAACAAGGUUUCCGUAGGUGAACCUGCGGAAGGAUCAUUAAAGAGUUAGGGUCUUCUCAGGCCCGACCUCCCAACCCUUUGUCUAUUGAACCCUUGUUGCUUCGGCGGGCCCGUCGUUAUACGGCCGCCGGAGGACCGACUCCAGGUCCUCUGGCCCGCGCCCGCCGGUAGCCAAAAUCACCAAACUCUUGAAUAAUCGUGUCUAUGAUGUCUGAGUACUUUUAUUAAAAUUAAGCAAAACUUUCAACAACGGAUCUCUUGGUUCUGGCAUCGAUGAAGAACGCAGCGAAAUGCGAUAAGUAAUGCGAAUUGCAGAAUUCCAGUGAGUCAUCGAAUCUUUGAACGCACAUUGCGCCCUUUGGUAUUCCGAAGGGCAUGCCUGUUCGAGCGUCAUUAUCACCCCUCAAGCCCUCCGGCUUGGUGUUGGACGGUCUGGUCGAGCUGCUCGACCCCUCCCAAAGACAAUGACGGCGGCCUGGUUGGACCCCCGGUACAUGGAGCUUCUUGAUUGAGCACGUAUCGGUUUCAAGGCGUCCCCGGGACCCGGUCUCACUCUCUCCCCUCGCGGGAGGGAACCCCCCUUUUUUCUAAGGUUGACCUCGGAUCAGGUAGGAAUACCCGCUGAACUUAAGCAUAUC
Molecule: unclassified non-coding RNA, 639 nt
Filed under: Exophiala phaeomuriformis
Lineage: Eukaryota; Fungi; Ascomycota; Eurotiomycetes; Chaetothyriales; Herpotrichiellaceae
Description: sequence contains 18S rRNA gene, ITS1, 5.8S rRNA gene, ITS2, 28S rRNA gene
Rfam family: 5.8S ribosomal RNA (bases 240-394)
Source: RNAcentral